Molecule: ribosomal RNA, 468 nt
Filed under: uncultured bacterium
Lineage: Bacteria
Description: partial 16S ribosomal RNA
Rfam family: Bacterial small subunit ribosomal RNA
Source: RNAcentral
GACGAACGCUGGCGGCGUGCUUAACACAUGCAAGUCGAACGGAAAGGCCCUGCUUUUGUGGGGUGCUCGAGUGGCGAACGGGUGAGUAACACGUGAGUAACCUGCCCUUGGCUUUGGGAUAACUUCAGGAAACUGGGGCUAAUACCGGAUAGGAGCUCCUGCUGCAUGGUGGGGGUUGGAAAGUUUCGGCGGUUGGGGAUGGACUCGCGGCUUAUCAGCUUGUUGGUGGGGUAGUGGCUUACCAAGGCUUUGACGGGUAGCCGGCCUGAGAGGGUGACCGGCAACAUGGGGACUGAGACACGGCCCAGACCCCUACGGGGGGCAGCAGGGGGGAAUAUUGAACAAGGGGCGAAAGCUUGAGGCAGCAACGCCGCGUGGGGGAGGACGGCCUUCGGUUUGUAAACCGCUUCCGCCUGGGACGAAGCGGGAGUGACGGUAGUGGGAAAAGAAGCCCCGGCUAACUACGUC